AGUCGCAUUAAAAUGAGGCAGAGAGAGAGACAGAUACAGAAGAGAGACAGAGAGAGAGAGAGCGUUAGAGAGACAGAGAGAGAGACAGAGAGAGAGAAAGAGAGAGAGCGUUAGAGAGAGACAGAGACAGAGAGAGAGAUAGCGUUGGAGAGAGAGAGACAGAGAGACAGAGAGAGAAAGCAUUACAGAGAGAGACAGAGAGAGAGAGCGUUAGAGAGAGAGACAGAGAGAGAGAGCGUUAGAGAGAGACAGAGACAGAGAGAGAGAGCAUUACAGAGAGAGAGACAGAGAUAGCGAAACAGAGAACAAGAGAGAGAGACAGAGAGAGAGAGAGAAACAGAGACAGAGAGAGACAGAGAGAUGUAUACAGAGAAAGAGAAACAGUGAGAGAGAGUUAGAGAGACAGAGAGAGAGAGAGAGAGAGAGAGAGUUGUUAGAGAGAGACAGAGACAGAGAGAGAGACAGCGUUAGAGAGAGAGUUAGAGAGAGAGACAGAGAGAGAGACAGCGUUAGAGAGAGAGACAGAGAGAGAGAGUUAGAGAGAGAGACAGAGAGAGAGAGAGAGUUAGAGAGAGAGACAGAGAGAGAGAGAGAGUUAGAGAGAGAGACAGAGAGAGAGAGAGAGAGAGAGAGAAACCAAUCCUACUUCUCUCUUAUGUGGUACUUGAGGUUACUGUUCUUCCUCACACUGUGUGCCCCUUCCAGCUAGUGUUCUUUCAGCAAAGAGCACACACACACACACACACACACACACACACACACACACACACACACAACACAAAACAGAAAUUUACCGCCGACUGUUGCAAAGCCCCGACACCGGAGACUCCUUACUCGUAAACGUAACACGAACACAUCACUGUGGCCUGUCCCUGAGAACGAGCUGUUACUAUAGAAACGAUCAUUAAUACAAAGCUGUGAUUUGCAGCUGUGCUACUGUCAGAGCUGCUGUUCAAGAAAACGAACCCACACCUUCCGACCAAUCAGAGUCCAGAAUCCAACAUCGCCGUGGGAUAAAACCACGCUCGGAAACCAUCAGACUCUGCCAUAAACCAAACGCCUCAUUCCCAUCAGGGAGAAUUUUUUGUUUUCUUUUUGUUUGAGUAGAGACAUAGUGCCAAGUUUCAUGUUUGCAACACACACACACACACACACACCACUCAUAUUCCACCUACGUCACGGAUUAACACAAUCUGACUGAGCACUGACACACACAAACACACAUGCUGGAUUUUUCUAUCUUUGUGAGGACUUUCCACUGCCAUAAUUUAACACUGUUUUUUUUGUGAGGACCGGGUGAUUUGUGAGGACGUUUGACAUUGUGAGGACAUUUGGUCCUCACAAAGUGCGAAAUACAUGCACACACACACACUAUGAGUCUGUCAGCUCUCAGGGUCUUGCUUAUCAGCGUGAGUAGGUGGGAGACUCAGGCCUCCAUAACCUUGUCCACAUAAAUCGCAUUUAUCGCCACUCUGCCCUUCCUUUCUCUCCGUUUCUGCCAUACCGCCAUCGUUAAAUCACGGCUCGUUCUCCGACACGUUUAACCGCUUCGUCACACACUCCUCCGCCACCUCAUGUCCUUCGUCCUCCUCCGCAACCCAGUCACGCAGCCUGCUGGAUCAUAAAACCGUGAUUGCGCCUCCAUGCUGAUUAAUGGCCCUGGUUUUUUUGUGUGUGUUUUUUCCCCCCCGUG
Long non-coding RNA from Ictalurus punctatus (channel catfish), 1693 nucleotides. Lineage: Eukaryota; Metazoa; Chordata; Actinopteri; Siluriformes; Ictaluridae. The record is from Ensembl.